GACGAACGCUGGCGGCGUGCUUAACACAUGCAAGUCGAACGGAAAGGCCCUGCUUUUUUGGGGUGCUCGAGUGGCGAACGGGUGAGUAACACGUGAGUAACCUGCCCUGGACUUUGGGAUAACUUCAGGAAACUGGGGCUAAUACCGGAUAGGAGCUCCUGCUGCAUGGUGGGGGUUGGAAAGUUUCGGCGGUUGGGGAUGGACUCGCGGCUUAUCGGCUUGUUGGUGGGGUAGUGGCUUACCAAGGCUUUGACGGGUAGCCGGCAUGAGAGGGUGACCGGCCACAUUGGGACUGCGAUACGGCCCAGACUCCUACGUGAGGCAGCAGUGGGGAAUAUUGCACAAUGGGCGGAAGCCUGAUGCAGCAACGCCGCGUGCGGGAUGAAGGUCUUCGGGUUGUAAACCGCUUUCGCCUGUGACGAAGCGUGAGUGACGGUAAUGGGUAAAGAAGCACCGGCUAACUACGUG
Molecule: ribosomal RNA, 468 nt
Filed under: uncultured bacterium
Lineage: Bacteria
Description: partial 16S ribosomal RNA
Rfam family: Bacterial small subunit ribosomal RNA
Source: RNAcentral